AUUGAACGCUGGCGGCAGGCCUAACACAUGCAAGUCGAGCGGCAGCGGGAAAGUAGCUUGCUACUUUUGCCGGCGAGCGGCGGACGGGUGAGUAAUGCCUGGGGAUCUGCCCAGUCGAGGGGGAUAACCACUGGAAACGUAGCUAAUACCGCAUACGCCCUACGGGGGAAAGCAGGGGACCUUCGGGGCCUUGCGCGAUUGGACUGAACCCAGGUGGGAUUAGCUAGUUGGUGAGGUAACGGCUCGACCAAGGCGACGAUCCCUAGCU
This 268-nucleotide ribosomal RNA is filed under the name uncultured bacterium. RNAcentral describes it as "partial 16S ribosomal RNA". It matches the Rfam family "Bacterial small subunit ribosomal RNA", at positions 30 to 288 of the family's 1533-position model. The record is from RNAcentral.